Molecule: ribosomal RNA, 468 nt
Filed under: uncultured bacterium
Lineage: Bacteria
Description: partial 16S ribosomal RNA
Rfam family: Bacterial small subunit ribosomal RNA
Source: RNAcentral
GAUGAACGCUGGCGGCGUGCCUAACACAUGCAAGUCGAACGGAAAGGCGCUGCUUUUGCGUGGUUCUCGAGUGGCGAACGGGUGAGAAACACGUGAGUAAACCGCCCUUGACUUUGGGAUAUCUUCAGGAAAAUGCGGCUAAUACCGGAUAGGAGCUCCUGAUGCAUGGUGGGGGUCGGAAAGUUUCGGCGGUUUGGGAUAGACUCGCGGCUUACGAGCUUGUUGGGGGGGUAGUGGCUUACCAAGGGUUCGACGGAUAGCCCGCCUGGGAGCGGAGCCAGCGACAUUAGGACUGCGAGACGCCGCAGACGGCUACGGGAGGCAGCGGUGGAAAGUAUUGCGCAGUGGGGGGGAGCGUGAUGCAGCGGCGCCGCGUGCGGAAUGACGGCCUACGGGGUAUGAACCGCUGUCGCCUGUGACGAAGCGUGAGUGACGGUAAUGGGUAAAGAAGCACCGGCUAACUACGUG